RNAcentral lists this ribosomal RNA (2834 nucleotides) under Cribrihabitans marinus. RNAcentral's name for it is "bacterial LSU rRNA". It matches the Rfam family "Bacterial large subunit ribosomal RNA". The record is from RNAcentral. Lineage: Bacteria; Pseudomonadati; Pseudomonadota; Alphaproteobacteria; Rhodobacterales; Paracoccaceae.
AUCAAGCGCGAGAAGGGCGUUUGGUGAAUGCCUUGGCAGCAAGAGGCGAUGAAGGACGUGAUACUCUGCGAUAAGCCAUGGGGAGCCGAGAAUAGGCUUUGAUCCAUGGAUUUCCGAAUGGGGCAACCCACUUGAUUACAUUCUGUUAUUGCUUCGCAAUAACGAUCAGGGUGUAGAACCAAGUAUUUAUGACCUGAAUACAUAGGGUUAUAAAGGCGAACCCGGGGAACUGAAACAUCUAAGUACCCGGAGGAAAGGACAUCAAUUGAUACUCCCCCAGUAGCGGCGAGCGAACGGGGACCAGCCGAGCCGGAUGAGUGAGAAGAACCAGUUGGGAAACUGGGCCAUAGCGGGUGACAGCCCCGUAUUCGAAGCUCUGACGGACGUAUUAAGUAGGGCGGGACACGUGAAAUCCUGUCUGAAGAUCGGAGGACCACCUUCGAAGGCUAAGUACUCCUUGCUGACCGAUAGUGAACCAGUACCGUGAGGGAAAGGUGAAAAGCACCCCGACGAGGGGAGUGAAACAGUACCUGAAACCGAACGCCUACAAUCAGUCGGAGCCUCCUUGCGGGGUGACGGCGUACCUUUUGUAUAAUGGGUCAUCGACUUGGUCUCACGAGCAAGCUUAAGCCGUUAGGUGUAGGCGCAGCGAAAGCGAGUCUUAAUAGGGCGUCGAGUUCGUGGGAUCAGACCCGAAACCGAGUGAUCUAGGCAUGGCCAGGUUGAAGGCAAGGUAACACUUGCUGGAGGACCGAACCCACAUCCGUUGAAAAGGAUCGGGAUGAGCUGUGCCUAGGGGUGAAAGGCCAAUCAAACUCGGAGAUAGCUGGUUCUCUGCGAAAUCUAUUUAGGUAGAGCGUCAUCCGAAUACCCCGGGGGGUAGAGCACUGGAUGGGUAAUGGGGCCCCACAGGCUUACUGAUCCUAACCAAACUCCGAAUACCCGGGAGUACUAGAUGGCAGACACACUGCGGAUGCUAACGUCCGUAGUGGAGAGGGAAACAACCCUGACCUACAGCUAAGGCCCCCAAUUCAUGGCUAAGUGGGAAAGCAGGUGGGACGACCAAAACAACCAGGAAGUUGGCUUAGAAGCAGCCAUCUUUUAAAGAUAGCGUAACAGCUCACUGGUCUAAACAAGUUGUCCUGCGGCGAAGAUGUAACGGGGCUCAAGCCAUGAGCCGAAGCUUAGGAUGCGCAUAGCGCAUGGUAGCAGAGCGUAGUGUGACAUAGAACUCAUCCUGUAGCUCAAGUAGCCGAACAGGCGGUAGCGCAGGAGAGAGUUCUUUCGAUGAAGCGGGCGCGUGAGCGAUCCCGUGGAGAGAUCACUAGUGAGAAUGAUGACAUGAGUAGCGACAAAGAGUGUGAGAGACACUCUCGCCGAAAGUCCAAGGGUUCCUGCUUAAAGCUAAUCUGAGCAGGGUAAGCCGGCCCCUAAGCCGAGGCCGAAAGGCGUAGGCGAUGGGAACCAGUUUAAUAUUACUGGGCCAGGAGGAUGUGACGGAUUGCGGAUGUUGUUCGACCUUAUCGGAUUGGUCGGGCCGCUGAGCAGUUCCAGGAAAUAGCCCUCCAUCAGACCGUACCCUAAACCGACACAGGUGGACUGGUAGAGCAUACCAAGGCGCUUGAGAGAACGAUGUUGAAGGAACUCGGCAAAAUACCUCCGUAAGUUCGCGAGAAGGAGGCCCGGUUCCUAGGCAACUAGGGGCUGGGGGCACAAACCAGGGGGUGGCGACUGUUUAUUAAAAACACAGGGCUCUGCGAAGUCGCAAGACGACGUAUAGGGUCUGACGCCUGCCCGGUGCCUGAAGGUUAAAAGGAGAGGUGAGAGCCUUGAAUUGAAGCCCAGGUAAACGGCGGCCGUAACUAUAACGGUCCUAAGGUAGCGAAAUUCCUUGUCGGGUAAGUUCCGACCUGCACGAAUGGCGUAACGACUUCCCCGCUGUCUCCAACAUCGACUCAGCGAAAUUGAAUUGCCUGUCAAGAUGCAGGCUUCCCGCGGUUAGACGGAAAGACCCCGUGCACCUUUACUACAGCUUCGCACUGGCAUCAGGAUUGUGAUGUGCAGGAUAGGUGGUAGGCUUCGAACCCGGGACGCCAGUUCCGGUGGAGCCUCCCUUGAGAUACCACCCUUCGCACUCUUGAUGUCUAACCGCGGUCCGUCAUCCGGAUCCGGGACCCUGCGUGGCGGGUAGUUUGACUGGGGCGGUCGCCUCCUAAAGCGUAACGGAGGCGCGCGAAGGUUGGCUCAGAGCGGUCGGAAAUCGCUCGUUGAGUGCAAUGGCAGAAGCCAGCCUGACUGCAAGACUGACAAGUCGAGCAGAGUCGAAAGACGGCCAUAGUGAUCCGGUGGUCCCGAGUGGAAGGGCCAUCGCUCAACGGAUAAAAGGUACGCCGGGGAUAACAGGCUGAUACUGCCCAAGAGUCCAUAUCGACGGCAGUGUUUGGCACCUCGAUGUCGGCUCAUCUCAUCCUGGGGCUGGAGCAGGUCCCAAGGGUACGGCUGUUCGCCGUUUAAAGAGGUACGUGAGCUGGGUUUAGAACGUCGUGAGACAGUUCGGUCCCUAUCUGCCGUGGGUGUAGGAUACUUGAGAGGAGUUGCCCCUAGUACGAGAGGACCGGGGUGAACGAUCCACUGGUGGACCUGUUAUCGUGCCAACGGUAGUGCAGGGUAGCUAUGAUCGGACAGGAUAACCGCUGAAGGCAUCUAAGCGGGAAGCCCCCCUCAAAACAAGGUAUCCCUGAGGACCGAGGUAGACCACCUCGUCGAUAGGCCGGAGAUGUAAGCGCAGCAAUGCGUUCAGUUGACCGGUACUAAUCGUCCGAUAGGCUUGAACC